AGUAGCAACCUGCCAUUAUUACUAAGUGCAGAUAGUUCCUAUCAAACAUUUGCAUAUUUUAUUCCUGUGUGGUCAUACUUCAGAUUACUAGGUGAACAGAGUUGCUUUACAGCCCUAUAAUUCACCCAGCUCAGACCUGUGCAGUGCAGGUGGGCUGGGAAACACUCCACCAAAGAAUAACAGUCUACAUCCCCCAUGUCCAGCAGGGGGCAGUAUCAAUUAGGCCACUGAUUGCCUGCCCACAUGUGAUGCAGGCAGCAAUACAUUACGAACAGCUCUGUAAGCAGCACUACAGCUACUUUCAAUCAGAAAGCCUUGGUGCUGAGGUACCUGCCGAUACGUGGUUUUCUACAGUGGGGGAGUUACUGUACUUCAUUACUGUAGCGCAGAACGAUGCUCGUUUGUCUUGGUGUAAGGUUGCAUUCCCGGAUGCCUGAUGGGCCAUUCUGAGAAGUUAGAGGACCUUUCUCUUACAUAUGAAGACCCAUCCACCUCAACACACACUCCCCCUAAACACUCCUGCUGGAAACUAUUUAGCAAAAUAUGAUCUGAAAAAAUCCACAGCCAGCCUUCCACUGUGAGAAGAUGACUCAGCUCUGUGGGUCUGAAAGGAUGUGUAGCUGCCAAGAAGCUCUUGAGAAAAGGAGACGGCCACGUCAAACAAAGAAGCUGAACAAUGGACAGGCCACCCCACAGUCCAGGCCUCAGCACCCCUGAAUGUGUUUGAUUACUUCAGAAAAUCAUUGACCAGCUUCUGAGACUGAACUUUGGAGGAAGAAAAAUAUCCCUGCAGGUUAUUUAACUGAAAGCAUUUAAAAAUGUUAUACACUGUAAAAAUGGUGAUCUAAACGGACAUGAUUAAAAUGUGUCAAGCAAUGAAUAAAAACCAGAGGUGGACGAAGUGCACAAACCAUGUACUUGAGUUAAAGUAGAAACACCCAAGGUAAAAUAUCACUCCAGUAAAAGUAGAAGUUCCUCCCUUUAGACCUCCA
This is a long non-coding RNA of Pygocentrus nattereri (red-bellied piranha), 992 nucleotides long. RefSeq lists it as uncharacterized. The record is from RefSeq and is a predicted model, not a curated record. Lineage: Eukaryota; Metazoa; Chordata; Actinopteri; Characiformes; Serrasalmidae. The transcript is spliced from 4 exons.